GUUGAAGAACUUUGGAUAUCAGGAGACACAAACGAUGAAGAUGAUUUUUCUCUUCUAAAAUAACUGUUGGUAAACUACAGACUUCUAUCUGAAGGAAGAGGAGAUAGUUUAUUCAGGGAAAAUGUUUAUAAUGCAGAUUCUGGCAAACUACAUUAUCAUAAGGAUUUAAAAAUUCUUAAACUUUAUAAAAAGUCAUCUCAAGCUGAAUGCAGCUGUACCCUGGCUGAGAAAAUGUCUUCAUUGUCAACUUUCUCAGACUGUAUAGAGAAGUGAUUGAAGUCAAUCACAGGACAGGCUGGGAAGUCAAAGGGAUUAGAGCUCUUCCAUUUCAAAGUAUCAGCUACUCCUGAUCUUUCCCAUUGUCAACUAUACAGUGAAUUUCCGGUACCAGAAGUAGGCUGUAACCUGUGUCAUUUACAGUCUCAUUUUUUCACUGUAGUUGAAUUUUAUUUAAAAAUAAGAAUUACUGUAUUAGAAUAAGGAACUCCUGAAAUGCAUAUAAUUCUAGCUCAGCUUUUUAUUUACAAAAUACCAUGUUGCCAUGAUACAAUUGUUAUCUACUAUGUGAAAAUAUCUUUCUUGAAAUUCCAUAGUUGAAAUUACUUUCCUUUGAUGAUCAUCCACCUUCCAGCUUGCAACCUAGCUAUUCUGUUCUGAAACAGAAAUGAGACAAAAUAUCUGCUGAGCCCCCUUCCCCCCCACAUUGUUUCCAAGAGAAAAUGACCAUGCUCUUCUACUUCUGUGCUGAGAAUAAUUUAAAUUUGUAUUAGAAAUAAUAAAUUCCAAGCUUUGAAACUUUGAUAUAAAAUUUCAGUAGUAACAGAUAUUUCAAAUGCUUUCUGUUUCAGAUUUAUGUUGAAGGUACUUGGGUCCUUUGGGAACAACUUAUAAGUACUAUUGAAUCAUUAGUUUUUCUUUACAGUAGGGAUUAUUAUCUUCACAGCAUUUCUGAGACAACAUUAUAGUGGAAACUUAUAGAACAAAGAAAUAUAGAUUCAGGAGAAUCAACACAAUAUCACCAUUAUAAAUUUUGAAUACUGCAACUGCUACUUCUGCCCACCUGGAGGAGCAGUGCUUUCAAAUGAAGUACAAGAAGUUACCCAAAAGAUAAACUUCU
Molecule: long non-coding RNA, 1117 nt
Organism: Phasianus colchicus (ring-necked pheasant)
Lineage: Eukaryota; Metazoa; Chordata; Aves; Galliformes; Phasianidae
Source: RefSeq, a predicted model, not a curated record